GGCCCCGUCGUCCAGAGGCCUAGGACGCUGCGCUCUCAAGGCUGAGACGCCGGUUCGAAUCCGGUCGGGGCUG
RNAcentral lists this transfer RNA (73 nucleotides) under Acidimicrobiia bacterium. Its description in RNAcentral is "tRNA-Glu". It matches the Rfam family "tRNA". Rfam says of the family: Transfer RNA (tRNA) molecules are approximately 80 nucleotides in length. Their secondary structure includes four short double-helical elements and three loops (D, anti-codon, and T loops). The record is from RNAcentral. Lineage: Bacteria; Bacillati; Actinomycetota; Acidimicrobiia.